RNAcentral lists this ribosomal RNA (414 nucleotides) under uncultured bacterium. RNAcentral's name for it is "bacterial SSU rRNA". It matches the Rfam family "Bacterial small subunit ribosomal RNA", at positions 958 to 1375 of the family's 1533-position model. The record is from RNAcentral.
AACGCGAAGAACCUUACCUACCCUUGACAUGGUCGGAACCCUGCUGAAAGGUGGGGGUGCUCGAAAGAGAACCGGCGCACAGGUGCUGCAUGGCUGUCGUCAGCUCGUGUCGUGAGAUGUUGGGUUAAGUCCCGCAACGAGCGCAACCCUUGUCCUUAGUUGCUACGCAAGAGCACUCUAGGGAGACUGCCGGUGACAAACCGGAGGAAGGUGGGGAUGACGUCAAGUCCUCAUGGCCCUUAUGGGUAGGGCUUCACACGUCAUACAAUGGUCGGAACAGAGGGUUGCCAAGCCGCGAGGCGGAGCCAAUCCCAGAAAACCGAUCGUAGUCCGGAUCGCAGUCUGCAACUCGACUGCGUGAAGCUGGAAUCGCUAGUAAUCGCGGAUCAGCAUGCCGCAGUGAAAUACGUUCCC